GCGGUGCGGGCCGGGCGGGUGCAUUCAGGCCAAGGUCAGGGAGCAAGAGGUGUGCACACCAAAGCUAUUGGAGAUUUGCGUGGAAAUCUCAGAUUCUUCACUGGUGAGACAAUGAAACAACAGAGACAGUGAAAGUUUUAAUACCUAAGUCAUUCCUCCAGUGCAUACUGUAGGUCAUUUUUUUUGCUUCUGGCUACCUGUUUGAAGGGGAGAGAGGGAAAAUCAAGUGGUAUUUUCCAGCACUUUGUAUGAUUUUGGAUGAGUUGUACACCCAAGGAUUCUGUUCUGCAACUCCAUCCUCCUGUGUCACUGAAUAUCAACUCUGAAAGAGCAAACCUAACAGGAGAAAGGACAACCAGGAUGAGGAUGUCACCAACUGAAUUAAACUUAAGUCCAGAAGCCUCCUGUUGGCCUUGGAAUAUGGCCAAGGCUCUCUCUGUCCCUGUAAAAGAGAGGGGCAAAUAGAGAGUCUCCAAGAGAACGCCCUCAUGCUCAGCACAUAUUUGCAUGGGAGGGGGAGAUGGGUGGGAGGAGAUGAAAAUAUCAGCUUUUCUUAUUCCUUUUUAUUCCUUUUAAAAUGGUAUGCCAACUUAAGUAUUUACAGGGUGGCCCAAAUAGAACAAGAUGCACUCGCUGUGAUUUUAAGACAAGCUGUAUAAACAGAACUCCACUGCAAGAGGGGGGGCCGGGCCAGGAGAAUCUCCGCUUGUCCAAGACAGGGGCCUAAGGAGGGUCUCCACACUGCUGCUAGGGGCUGUUGCAUUUUUUUAUUAGUAGAAAGUGGAAAGGCCUCUUCUCAACUUUUUUCCCUUGGGCUGGAGAAUUUAGAAUCAGAAGUUUCCUGGAGUUUUCAGGCUAUCAUAUAUACUGUAUCCUGAAAGGCAACAUAAUUCUUCCUUCCCUCCUUUUAAAAUUUUGUGUUCCUUUUUGCAGCAAUUACUCACUAAAGGGCUUCAUUUUAGUCCAGAUUUUUAGUCUGGCUGCACCUAACUUAUGCCUCGCUUAUUUAGCCCGAGAUCUGGUCUUUUUUUUUUUUUUUUUUUUUUUUUUUCCGUCUCCCCAAAGCUUUAUCUGUCUUGACUUUUUAAAAAAGUUUGGGGGCAGAUUCUGAAUUGGCUAAAAGACAUGCAUUUUUAAAACUAGCAACUCUUAUUUCUUUCCUUUAAAAAUACAUAGCAUUAAAUCCCAAAUCCUAUUUAAAGACCUGACAGCUUGAGAAGGUCACUACUGCAUUUAUAGGACCUUCUGGUGGUUCUGCUGUUACGUUUGAAGUCUGACAAUCCUUGAGAAUCUUUGCAUGCAGAGGAGGUAAGAGGUAUUGGAUUUUCACAGAGGAAGAACACAGCGCAGAAUGAAGGGCCAGGCUUACUGAGCUGUCCAGUGGAGGGCUCAUGGGUGGGACAUGGAAAAGAAGGCAGCCUAGGCCCUGGGGAGCCCAGUCCACUGAGCAAGCAAGGGACUGAGUGAGCCUUUUGCAGGAAAAGGCUAAGAAAAAGGAAAACCAUUCUAAAACACAACAAGAAACUGUCCAAAUGCUUUGGGAACUGUGUUUAUUGCCUAUAAUGGGUCCCCAAAAUGGGUAACCUAGACUUCAGAGAGAAUGAGCAGAGAGCAAAGGAGAAAUCUGGCUGUCCUUCCAUUUUCAUUCUGUUAUCUCAGGUGAGCUGGUAGAGGGGAGACAUUAGAAAAAAAUGAAACAACAAAACAAUUACUAAUGAGGUACGCUGAGGCCUGGGAGUCUCUUGACUCCACUACUUAAUUCCGUUUAGUGAGAAACCUUUCAAUUUUCUUUUAUUAGAAGGGCCAGCUUACUGUUGGUGGCAAAAUUGCCAACAUAAGUUAAUAGAAAGUUGGCCAAUUUCACCCCAUUUUCUGUGGUUUGGGCUCCACAUUGCAAUGUUCAAUGCCACGUGCUGCUGACACCGACCGGAGUACUAGCCAGCACAAAAGGCAGGGUAGCCUGAAUUGCUUUCUGCUCUUUACAUUUCUUUUAAAAUAAGCAUUUAGUGCUCAGUCCCUACUGAGUACUCUUUCUCUCCCCUCCUCUGAAUUUAAUUCUUUCAACUUGCAAUUUGCAAGGAUUACACAUUUCACUGUGAUGUAUAUUGUGUUGCAAAAAAAAAAAAAAAGUGUCUUUGUUUAAAAUUACUUGGUUUGUGAAUCCAUCUUGCUUUUUCCCCAUUGGAACUAGUCAUUAACCCAUCUCUGAACUGGUAGAAAAACAUCUGAAGAGCUAGUCUAUCAGCAUCUGACAGGUGAAUUGGAUGGUUCUCAGAACCAUUUCACCCAGACAGCCUGUUUCUAUCCUGUUUAAUAAAUUAGUUUGGGUUCUCUACAUGCAUAACAAACCCUGCUCCAAUCUGUCACAUAAAAGUCUGUGACUUGAAGUUUAGUCAGCACCCCCACCAAACUUUAUUUUUCUAUGUGUUUUUUGCAACAUAUGAGUGUUUUGAAAAUAAAGUACCCAUGUCUUUAUUAGAUUU
This 2483-nucleotide long non-coding RNA is filed under the name Homo sapiens (human). RNAcentral describes it as "non-protein coding lnc-NKX3-1-1:1". The record is from RNAcentral. Lineage: Eukaryota; Metazoa; Chordata; Mammalia; Primates; Hominidae.